RNAcentral lists this ribosomal RNA (253 nucleotides) under uncultured bacterium. Its description in RNAcentral is "partial 16S ribosomal RNA". It matches the Rfam family "Bacterial small subunit ribosomal RNA", at positions 524 to 776 of the family's 1533-position model. The record is from RNAcentral.
UACGUAGGUGGCAAGCGUUAUCCGGAAUGAUUGGGCGUAAAGCGUCCGCAGGUGGCUGUGUAAGUCUGCUGUUAAAGAGUGAGGCUCAACCUCAUAAGAGCAGUGGAAACUACACAGCUAGAGUGCGUUCGGGGCAGAGGGAAUUCCUGGUGUAGCGGUGAAAUGCGUAGAGAUCAGGAAGAACACCGGUGGCGAAGGCGCUCUGCUAGGCCGCAACUGACACUGAGGGACGAAAGCUAGGGGAGCGAAUGGG